GACGAACGCUGGCGGCGUGCUUAACACAUGCAAGUCGAACGGAAAGGCCCUGCUUUUGUGGGGUGCUCGAGUGGCGAACGGGUGAGUAACACGUGAGUAACCUGCCCUUGACUUUGGGAUAACUUCAGGAAACUGGGGCUAAUACCGGAUAGGAGCUCCUGCUGCAUGGUGGGGGUUGGAAAGUUUCGGCGGUUGGGGAUGGACUCGCGGCUUAUCAGCUUGUUGGUGGGGUAGUGGCUUACCAAGGCUUUGACGGGUAGCCGGCCUGAGAGGGUGACCGGCCACAUUGGGACUGAGAUACGGCCCAGACUCCUACGGGGGGCAGCGGUGGGGAAUAUUGCACAAUGGGCGGAAGCCUGAUGCAGCAACGCCGCGUGCGGGAUGACGGCCUUCGGGUUGUAAACCGCUUUCGCCUGUGACGAAGCGUGAGUGACGGUAAUGGGUGAAGAAGCACCGGCUAACUACGUG
RNAcentral lists this ribosomal RNA (468 nucleotides) under uncultured bacterium. RNAcentral describes it as "partial 16S ribosomal RNA". It matches the Rfam family "Bacterial small subunit ribosomal RNA", at positions 28 to 507 of the family's 1533-position model. The record is from RNAcentral.